GAGUUUGAUCAUGGCUCAGGACGAACGCUGGCGGCGUGCUUAACACAUGCAAGUCGAGCGGUAAGGCCUUUCGGGUACGACGAGCGGCGAACGGGUGAGUAACACGUGGGUGAUCUGCCCUGCACUUCGGGAUAAGCCUGGGAAACUGGGUCUAAUACCGGAUAUGACCUCCUAUCGCAUGGUGGGUGGUGGAAAGAUUUAUCGGUGCAGGAUGGGCCCGCGGCCUAUCAGCUUGUUGGUGGGGUAAUGGCCUACCAAGGCGACGACGGGUAGCCGACCUGAGAGGGUGACCGGCCACACUGGGACUGAGACACGGCCCAGACUCCUACGGGAGGCAGCAGUGGGGAAUAUUGCACAAUGGGCGAAAGCCUGAUGCAGCGACGCCGCGUGAGGGAUGACGGCCUCGGUUGUAACGUACUUCUAGCAGG
RNAcentral lists this ribosomal RNA (428 nucleotides) under uncultured microorganism. RNAcentral describes it as "bacterial SSU rRNA". It matches the Rfam family "Bacterial small subunit ribosomal RNA", at positions 9 to 443 of the family's 1533-position model. The record is from RNAcentral.